This is a non-coding RNA of Zootermopsis nevadensis, 66 nucleotides long. The record is from Rfam. NCBI's taxonomy places the organism in Eukaryota, Metazoa, Arthropoda, Insecta, Blattodea, Termopsidae.
AUUAUGGUCUAGCGGUUAGAACGCUGGCCUUGUAAGCCUGGGGUCCCGGGUUCAAUUCCCGGUGGU